AGGCAGUUAGUCCAAUUAAGACACUUGAUUUCGGCUCAAGGGGUGCUGGUUAAAAUCCAUUACUGUCGU
RNAcentral lists this transfer RNA (69 nucleotides) under Rexea prometheoides (royal escolar). Its description in RNAcentral is "tRNA-Arg". It matches the Rfam family "tRNA". Rfam says of the family: Transfer RNA (tRNA) molecules are approximately 80 nucleotides in length. The record is from RNAcentral. Lineage: Eukaryota; Metazoa; Chordata; Actinopteri; Scombriformes; Gempylidae.